CCUACGGGAGGCAGCAGUGAGGAAUAUUGGUCAAUGGACGAGAGUCUGAACCAGCCAAGUAGCGUGAAGGAUGACUGCCCUAUGGGUUGUAAACUUCUUUUAUAUGGGAAUAAAGUGUUCUACGUGUGGGACUUUGUAUGUACCAUAUGAAUAAGGACCGGCUAACUCCGUGCCAGCAGCCGCGGUAAUACGGAGGGUCCGAGCGUUAUCCGGAUUUAUUGGGUUUAACGGGAGCGUAGGUGGCUUGUUAAGCCAGUUGUGAAAGUUUCGGGCUCAACCGUAAACUUGCAGUGGAAACUGGCAGGCUUGAGUACAGGAGAGGUGGGCGGAAUUCGUGGUGUAGCGGUGAAAUGCUUAGAUAUGACGAAGAACUCCGAUUGCGAAGGCAGCUCACUGGACUGCAACUGACACUGAGGCUCGAAAGUGUGGGUAUCAAACAGGAUUAGAUACCCGGGUAGUC
Molecule: ribosomal RNA, 460 nt
Filed under: uncultured bacterium
Lineage: Bacteria
Description: partial 16S ribosomal RNA
Rfam family: Bacterial small subunit ribosomal RNA
Source: RNAcentral